GUACCCUUAUCUUCGGAACAACUCCGGGAAACUGGAGCUAAUACCGAAUGUGCCCUUCGGGGGAAAGAUUUAUCGGAUAUGGAUUGGCCCGCCUUAGAUUAACUAGUUGGGGGAGGGAAGGCCUACCAAGGCUACCAUCCAUAUGUGGUCUGACAGGAUGAUCCACCACUUUGGGACUGAGACACCGCCCACCCUCCUGCGGGAGGCGACUUGGGGGAAUAUUGGACUAUGGGCGCAAUCCUGAUCCAGCCAUGCCUCGUGAGUGAUGAAGGCCUUAGGGUUGUAAAGGUCUUUCGCCGCACAAGAUAAUGACGGUAUCCCGACAACAAGCCCCGGCUAACUUCGAGCCACCUGCCGCGGCAGUACCAAGGGGGCUAACGGUGAUCCCAAUUACUGGGCGUAAACCGCACGUAUGCGGACAUUUAAAUGAUGGGUGAAAUCCCGGGGCUCAACCUCGGAACUGCCUUUGAUACUGGGUGUCUUGAGUGUGGAAGAGGUCAUUGGAAUUGCGAGUGUAGAGGUGAAAUUCAAUGAUAUUCGCAGGAACUGCACCGGCGAAGGCGGCUGACUGGUCCACAACUGACGCUGAGGUGCGACGUGGACUAGAGCAAACAGGAUUAGAUACCCUGGUAGUCCACGCCGUAAACGAUGAAUGUUAGCCGUCGGCAAGUUUACUUGUCGGUGGCGCAGCUAACGCAUAUAAACAUUCCGCCUGGGGAGUACGGUCGCAAUUAUUACUGACUCUCAUGCAAUUGACAGGAGGCCCGCACAUAGCAGGGGAGCAUGUGGGUUUAAUCUCCCAAGCAUUCUCAGCACAAGCCUUACCAUGCCCUUGACAUGUCCCGGCUUUCGCCACAGAGAUGUCGGUAUUACCGUUCAGGCGCACCUUGGACAUAGUGCUGCAGUGGCUGAUCGAUCAGUCAUCGUGUCGCUUAGAUCCUUCGGGAUAACGUCCUUCAUACUUAGUCGCGAUGCAUCGAGCUUAGCUGGCAUGACAGUUUCGUUCUUGGCACA
This 1014-nucleotide ribosomal RNA is filed under the name Affinirhizobium rhizoryzae. Its description in RNAcentral is "bacterial SSU rRNA". It matches the Rfam family "Bacterial small subunit ribosomal RNA", at positions 126 to 1202 of the family's 1533-position model. The record is from RNAcentral. Lineage: Bacteria; Pseudomonadati; Pseudomonadota; Alphaproteobacteria; Hyphomicrobiales; Rhizobiaceae.